RNAcentral lists this ribosomal RNA (429 nucleotides) under Bacteroidota bacterium. Its description in RNAcentral is "Bacteroidetes bacterium partial 16S ribosomal RNA". It matches the Rfam family "Bacterial small subunit ribosomal RNA", at positions 355 to 776 of the family's 1533-position model. Lineage: Bacteria; Pseudomonadati; Bacteroidota. The record is from RNAcentral.
UAGGGAAUCUUCGGCAAUGGGGGGAACCCUGACCGAGCAACGCCGCGUGAGUGAAGAAGGUUUUCGGAUCGUAAAGCUCUGUUGUUAAGGAAGAACGAGUGUGAGAAUGGAAAGUUCAUACUGUGACGGUACUUAACCAGAAAGGGACGGCUAACUACGUGCCAGCAGCCGCGGUAAUACGUAGGUCCCGAGCGUUGUCCGGAAUUAUUGGGCGUAAAGCGCGCGCAGGCGGACUAGCCAGUCAGUCUUAAAAGUUCGGGGCUUAACCCCGUGAUGGGAUUGAAACUACUAGUCUAGAGUAUCGGAGAGGAAAGUGGAAUUCCUAGUGUAGCGGUGAAAUGCGUAGAUAUUAGGAAGAACACCAGUGGCGAAGGCGACUUUCUGGACGAACACUGACGCUGAGGCGCGAAAGCCAGGGGAGCGAACGGG